This is a transfer RNA of Camelus ferus (Wild Bactrian camel), 70 nucleotides long. It matches the Rfam family "tRNA". Rfam says of the family: Transfer RNA (tRNA) molecules are approximately 80 nucleotides in length. Their secondary structure includes four short double-helical elements and three loops (D, anti-codon, and T loops). Further hydrogen bonds mediate the characteristic L-shaped molecular structure. tRNAs have two regions of fundamental functional importance: the anti-codon, which is responsible for specific mRNA codon recognition, and the 3' end, to which the tRNAs corresponding amino acid is attached (by aminoacyl-tRNA synthetases). tRNAs cope with the degeneracy of the genetic code in two manners: having more than one tRNA (with a specific anti-codon) for a particular amino acid; and 'wobble' base-pairing, i.e. permitting non-standard base-pairing at the 3rd anti-codon position. NCBI's taxonomy places the organism in Eukaryota, Metazoa, Chordata, Mammalia, Artiodactyla, Camelidae. The record is from Rfam.
GAAGGUACAGCUCAGUGGUAGCGCGUGCUUAUCACGCACGAGGUCCUGGGUUCAACCCCCAGUACCUCCA